CACGGGGGGAGCAAGCGUUGUUCGGAAUCACUGGGCGUAAAGGGCGUGUAGGCGGUCAAGUAAGUGGAAUGUGAAAGCCCCCGGCUUACCCGGGGAUCUGCAUCCCAAACUGCUUGGCUUGAGUACGGGAGAGGAUAGGGGAAUUCCUGGUGUAGCGGUGAAAUGCGCAGAUAUCGGGAGGAACACCAGUGGCGAAGGCGGCACUCUGGGCCGGUACUGACGCUGAGGAGCGAAAGCGUGGGGAGCGAACAGG
This 253-nucleotide ribosomal RNA is filed under the name uncultured bacterium. Its description in RNAcentral is "partial 16S ribosomal RNA". It matches the Rfam family "Bacterial small subunit ribosomal RNA", at positions 524 to 776 of the family's 1533-position model. The record is from RNAcentral.